AGUCGAGCGGGGAUAGAGAUUGGAGAACAGAGAUUAGAGAAUAGAGGAAAGCAAGUACUUUUCGAAUCUCUAAUUUCUCUUCUCUAAUCUCAAUUCUAGCGGCGGACGGGUGAGUAACGCGUGGGUAACCAACCAUAUAGAGGGGGAUAACGGCUAGAAAUAGCCGCUAAUACCGCAUAGACCGAUAAUGCCGCAUGGUAUAAUCGGUAAAGGAGCAAUCCGCUGUAUGACGGACCCGCGUCUGAUUAGCUAGUUGGUGGGGUAAAGGCCUACCAAGGCGACGAUCAGUAGCCGACCUGAGAGGGUGAUCGGCCACAUUGGGACUGAGACACGGCCCAAACUCCUACGGGAGGCAGCAGUGGGGAAUAUUGCACAAUGGGGGAAACCCUGAUGCAGCAACGCCGCGUGAAGGAAGAAGUAUUUCGGUACGUAAACUUCAGACGCUGAUGAAGAAAAGAAUGACGGUAAUCAGGCCGGAGCCCCGGCUAACUACGUGCCAGCAGCCGCGGUAAUACGUAGGGGGCAAGCGUUAUCCGGAAUUACUGGGCGUAAAGGGUGAGUAGGCGGUAAGUCAAGUCAUAUGUGAAAGCCCCAGGCUUAACCUGGGGAUUGCAUAAGAAACUGGCUGACUAGAGUAUGGGAGAGG
Molecule: ribosomal RNA, 646 nt
Filed under: uncultured bacterium
Lineage: Bacteria
Description: bacterial SSU rRNA
Rfam family: Bacterial small subunit ribosomal RNA
Source: RNAcentral